RNAcentral lists this ribosomal RNA (345 nucleotides) under Asteloeca traili. RNAcentral describes it as "partial 12S ribosomal RNA". Lineage: Eukaryota; Metazoa; Arthropoda; Insecta; Hymenoptera; Vespidae. The record is from RNAcentral.
UAUAAUUAAUAUUAUUUUAAAUUUUAAGUUAUUAAAUGUUAAAUCAUUAAAUUAAAAAGAUUUGGCGGUAUUUUAAAUAAUUAGAGGAACCUGUAUAGUAAUUGAUAGUCCACAAUAAGAUUAACUUAAUUAAAAAUUUAUGUAUUGCUGUUUUUAGAUUAUUAUUAAUUAAAUUUUUAAAUUUUUAAAUUUUAAUUUAAUUCAAGUCAAAAUAUAGUUUAUUUAAGAAUUAAUAUGGGUUACAAUUUUUUUUAUAAUGGAUAAAAUUAAUUUAAAUUAUUUUUAAAAUAGGAUUUAAUAGUAAAUUUAAUUAAUUAAUUAUUUUGAAAUAAAAAUGAAAUAAGU